Molecule: ribosomal RNA, 777 nt
Filed under: uncultured Neocallimastigales
Lineage: Eukaryota; Fungi; Neocallimastigomycota; Neocallimastigomycetes; Neocallimastigales
Description: partial large subunit ribosomal RNA
Rfam family: Eukaryotic large subunit ribosomal RNA
Source: RNAcentral
UAGAUGCGAGAGUAGAGCAUAUCAAUAAGCGGAGGAAAAGAAACUAACAAGGAUUCCCCUAGUAACGGCGAGUGAAGCGGGAAGAGCUCAAAUUUGAAAUCUUAAAGGGUUUCCCUUUACGAAUUGUAGUUUAAAGAAGUGUUUUCUGUUGGAGUUUCGGUAAAAGUUCUUUGGAAUAGGACAUCAUAGAGGGUGAGAAUCCCGUAUUUGACCGUUACUUUCCAGCUGUGUGAUACACUUUCAAAGAGUCGGAUUGUUUGGGAAUGCAGUCCAAAAUGGGUGGUAAAUUUCAUCUAAAGCUAAAUAUUGGCGAGAGACCGAUAGCGAACAAGUACCGUGAGGGAAAGAUGAAAAGAACUUUGAAAAGAGAGUUAAACAGUACGUGAAAUUGUCAAAAGGGAAGCGUUUGACACCAGUGUUGUUUAGUUGAAAAUCAAUUCAAUAAUUUUUGAUUUUGAGUAGUAUUGACUUCAUCAGCUUGCUGCUUUCUUUUCCGAAAUUAUUGAAUGCACUUUUCAGUUAACAAGUCAACAUCAAUUUCUUCUGUUGUAAAAGGGUAAGAGGAAGGUGGCUUACGCUUCGGCGUAAGUGUUUAUAGCCUUUUACCUCUGCAAUCGGAGAGAUUGAGGACAGCAGCGUAGACUCCUUCGGGGGUUAGAUACACUUGUGCUAAGCUAUAGCCUUGUAUAGACAACUUGUUGACUAUGCUCAGUCAUGUAGCUUACUCGCUUGUGCUAUUUUACCUACGCUUAGGAUGUUGACACACGCGCGUGCUCG